Molecule: long non-coding RNA, 709 nt
Organism: Pan troglodytes (chimpanzee)
Lineage: Eukaryota; Metazoa; Chordata; Mammalia; Primates; Hominidae
Exons: 4
Source: RefSeq, a predicted model, not a curated record
GCGCUUCCGCCGCACAGAGCCUGACGAAGGCUUGGGCUCCCCGCGCGGUGACCGUCGAGGUGACCUGCACCUGGCUCCAUGGCGGAACCGGCUGGCACGGAUUAUUCCCCUCUCGGGAGAGGUCUGCAGCCGGGCUUCAGUGCUUCAGUUCGUGGCCUGGCAUUUUGUGAAGAGUGUCUUCAUCUCUGCAUCCCUAGUGCAACAGAGCAUGAUAAAAAUUCAAUAAAUAUUUAUUGAAGAGUCUUGAUGUCUUUUGGGAAAGGAACUCUAUGGUUACCUUUACUCUAAGAUUAGAUGGGUGUUACUGAUUCUUACCUCAGAGAAGAGAAUGUCAUGGAGACAAAAUGAUCUGCUUAGAGUUCUGCACCCCCCAGCAUGGAGAGCAGAGCGCAAAGAUUUCUUCCGGACUCUCACAUUCCCCUUGGAAUCCAAGAACUGGUCUACUGUCACAACACUUUAGUACCCUCUUCUCCCAAGGAGGCAGCAGAAACUGGGGUAAUCACAACGGUCAACAGCAGCAAAGGCAGCACUUUCUGAUUUACUUGACUGCUAUGGAUGCCACCUAUCUCCACGCCUCAGUUUAAUAUCUGUAAGUUUGGUCAGUAUCUCAUUCAAGAACAUUGCAUUUACUCUGGUACUUAAAGAUGAAAAAUCAACAUUUACAAAGCAGAUCCAUUGUCAACAUAAAUAACAAACAAAGAGAGUCUCU